RNAcentral lists this ribosomal RNA (40 nucleotides) under Naegleria americana. RNAcentral's name for it is "partial 28S ribosomal RNA". The record is from RNAcentral. Lineage: Eukaryota; Heterolobosea; Eutetramitea; Acrasida; Naegleriidae.
AACUGGCCUCUACAUGUGAGAGGGUACCCCCUGGAUUUAA